GUAACAUGUAUGGCGGGGUCCUCACAAAUUACAGAAUCCAGGAAAGGCCAUGAAGAUCAUCCAUGGCAGGGUCAAUUAUUCAUUUCACCAGUGGGACAGCUGACUCAUCAGGAGGCUGACAGUUACUUAUUGAGUUCAAGAUGAUAGGUUCUGUUGUGUGAUUAGUCCUUGUAUUAAGAGAAGGAAGGCAAGCUAGUCAAGUACCAGCUCCAUGUUUGUAUCAGGUACUUACUACGCUGCAUAGGAUGACCCUAAACUCCAGCUCAAG
Molecule: long non-coding RNA, 268 nt
Organism: Nannospalax galili (Upper Galilee mountains blind mole rat)
Lineage: Eukaryota; Metazoa; Chordata; Mammalia; Rodentia; Spalacidae
Exons: 3
Source: RefSeq, a predicted model, not a curated record